CCUACGGGUGGCUGCAGUGGGGAAUCUUGCACAAUGGGGGAAACCCUGAUGCAGCGACGCCGCGUGAGCGAUGAAGCCCUUCGGGGUGUAAAGCUCUUUCGGCAGGAACGAUAAUGACGGUACCUGCAGAAGAAGCUGCGGCUAACUACGUGCCAGCAGCCGCGGUAAUACGUAGGCAGCAAGCGUUGUUCGGAGUUACUGGGCGUAAAGAGUGCGUAGGUGGUUCUCGAAGUUCGGUGUGAAAUCUCCCGGCUCAACUGGGAGGGUGCGCCGAAAACUGGAGAGCUUGAGUAUGGGAGAGGAGAGCGGAAUUCCUGGUGUAGCGGUGAAAUGCGUAGAUAUCAGGAGGAACACCUGUGGUGCAGACGGCUCUCUGGACCAUUACUGACACUGAGGCACGAAAGCGUGGGGAGCAAACAGGAUUAGAUACCCCUGUAGUC
Molecule: ribosomal RNA, 440 nt
Filed under: uncultured bacterium
Lineage: Bacteria
Description: partial 16S ribosomal RNA
Rfam family: Bacterial small subunit ribosomal RNA
Source: RNAcentral